RNAcentral lists this transfer RNA (78 nucleotides) under Dehalococcoidia bacterium. Its description in RNAcentral is "tRNA-Glu". It matches the Rfam family "tRNA". From Rfam's summary of the family: Transfer RNA (tRNA) molecules are approximately 80 nucleotides in length. Their secondary structure includes four short double-helical elements and three loops (D, anti-codon, and T loops). Lineage: Bacteria; Bacillati; Chloroflexota; Dehalococcoidia. The record is from RNAcentral.
GGCGCAUUCGUCUAGGGGGUUUAGGACACCUCCCUCUCAAGGAGGAGAUCACCGGUUCGAAUCCGGUAUGCGCCACCA